This 440-nucleotide ribosomal RNA is filed under the name uncultured bacterium. Its description in RNAcentral is "partial 16S ribosomal RNA". It matches the Rfam family "Bacterial small subunit ribosomal RNA", at positions 338 to 795 of the family's 1533-position model. The record is from RNAcentral.
CCUACGGGAGACAGCAGUGGGGAAUAUUGCACAAUGGGGGAAACCCUGAUGCAGCGACGCCGCGUGAGUGAAGAAGUAAUUCGUUAUGUAAAGCUCUAUCAGCAGGGAAGAAAAUGACGGUACCUGAGUAAGAAGCCCCGGCUAACUACGUGCCAGCAGCCGCGGUACUACGUAGGGGGCAAGCGUUAUCCGGAUUUACUGGGUGUAAAGGGAGCGUAGACGGCAGUGCAAGUCUGGAGUGAAAGGCGGGGGCUCAACCCCCGGACUGCUCUGGAAACUGGACGGCUGGAGUGCAGGAGAGGUAAGUGGAAUUCCUAGUGUAGCGGUGAAAUGCGUAGAUAUUAGGAGGAACACCAGUGGCGAAGGCGGCUUACUGGACUGUAACUGACGUUGAGGCUCGAAAGCGUGGGGAGCAAACAGGAUUAGAUACCCGUGUAGUC